Molecule: long non-coding RNA, 1157 nt
Organism: Galleria mellonella (greater wax moth)
Lineage: Eukaryota; Metazoa; Arthropoda; Insecta; Lepidoptera; Pyralidae
Exons: 2
Source: RefSeq, a predicted model, not a curated record
GAUAUACUAUUUAUGAUAUGAUUUAAUUUUAGUAUAAAUACCUUUAUGAACAUUUUCCAAGAAGUAAUUAUUGUCACUUAAUUAUAAUCACGUAAUCGUUUACCUGUACCUGUAUAUUAUAAUAAAAUAAAAAAAAAAAAAACAAAAUAAAUAAAAUAAUAUGGAGAACAGAAACAACUUAUUUAAAAAUGUAAAAUUUACGCGUCUGGCUCGCGUUUAUCAACAGCCGACUAAUCUUAUGCCACCAGAAAAGCCGAAUUCAUCAAGUUCACCACCAUCAAAACCAAAAGAGGACAGCAAGAAGAAUAAAGGUGUUAAAGCAGCUAAAACUACAUAAAUCUUUCAAAGAAUAAGAACUCGUGGCGAAUAGCGGUUGUGGAGUUGUGUACAUCUUUUACCAUUGUCCAUUAACACGUGUUUUUGCCGUGACACAUCCAUGCAAGAACAGUUUUGUCGUGGCAGAAACACGAAUAAGACAGAAGUGCUCACAGAUAACAUUUAUAUACGACAUCAUAACGUUAAAGAAAAAGGGAUAUUCCUUUUAAAAAGGCCGGCAGCAAACCUGCAAUGCCAUUGGUGUUGUGGAUGGAUUAUGGACGGCGGUAGUCAGUUACCAUCAGGUGAGCCGCAUGCUCGUUUGCCUCCUGUGUUGUAACAAAAUACGUCUCUAUCUAGUGAGUCUGAUGGUUUUUUUAAUGGAUGAUAGUGGAAUGAUAACUUCGUCUGGGCUAUUGGUAUACGCUGGCGGGACACCAGUAAGGGAUGAUAGGUGAGAAUGAAAAGGCAGGUCAGUUAGUUCAUCGUGAUGAAUACAUCUAGAAUUCAGCACGAUGGUUUCCAGCAAUGGGACCGGUAAUCCGCAUUACUAACUAUACUCCCUCUCCCCCCUAACUCUGAUGGUUAUUUGCCUAUAAAAUCAACAUUACACCGCCCCUACUUGCUGCCCUCAGGAAUGGCAACGCAUGGGGGUAUCAUGGGCGGAACAGUAUACUCUGUUAUGUCCAUGGUGCUGCUCAUGUCUAUAGACGACGGUUACCACUUUCCAUCAGGUGGGCCGUCAGCUUGUUUGCCAUUCUAAGUUGUAAAAAAAAACACUAUACCACUAAUAAUUAGAAGAAAAAGAAAUAAGCACUAAAUACACUUUUCUUUCUUUUUUU